AGAGUUUGAUCAUGGCUCAGGAUGAACGCUGGCGGCGUGCCUAACACAUGCAAGUCGAGCGAUUCUCUUCGGAGAAGAGCGGCGGACGGGUGAGUAACGCGUGGGUAACGUGCCCUGUACACACGGAUAACAUACCGAAAGGUAUGCUAAUACGGGAUAACAUAUUUUGAUGGCAUCAUCGAAAUAUCAAAGCUCCGGCGGUACAGGAUGGACCCGCGUCUGAUUAGCUAGUUGGUGAGGUAAUGGCUCACCAAGGCGACGAUCAGUAGCCGACCUGAGAGGGUGAUCGGCCACAUUGGAACUGAGACACGGUCCAAACUCCUACGGGAGGCAGCAGUGGGGAAUAUUGCACAAUGGGCGAAAGCCUGAUGCAGCAACGCCGCGUGAGCGAUGAAGGCCUUCGGGUCGUAAAGCUCUGUCCUCAAGGAAGAUAAUGACGGUACUUGAGGAGGAAGCCCCGGCUAACUACGUGCCAGCAGCCGCGGUAAUACGUAGGGGGCUAGCGUUAUCCGGAAUUACUGGGCGUAAAGGGUGCGUAGGUGGUUUUUUAAGUCAGAAGUGAAAGGCUACGGCUCAACCGUAGUAAGCUUUUGAAACUGAGAAACUUGAGUGCAGGAGAGGAGAGUAGAAUUCCUAGUGUAGCGGUGAAAUGCGUAGAUAUUAGGAGGAAUACCAGUUGCGAAGGCGGCUCUCUGGACUGUAACUGACACUGAGGCACGAAAGCGUGGGGAGCAAACAGGAUUAGAUACCCUGGUAGUCCACGCCGUAAACGAUGAGUACUAGGUGUCGGGGGUUACCCCCCUCGGUGCCGCAGCUAACGCAUUAAGUACUCCGCCUGGGAAGUACGCUCGCAAGAGUGAAACUCAAAGGAAUUGACUGG
Molecule: ribosomal RNA, 880 nt
Filed under: uncultured bacterium
Lineage: Bacteria
Description: bacterial SSU rRNA
Rfam family: Bacterial small subunit ribosomal RNA
Source: RNAcentral